CCUACGGGAGGCAGCAGUGAGGAAUAUUGGACAAUGGAGGCAACUCUGAUCCAGCCAUGCCGCGUGCAGGAAGACUGCCCUAUGGGUUGUAAACUGCUUUUAUACAGGAAGAAACACUCUCACGUGUGAGAGCUUGACGGUACUGUAAGAAUAAGGAUCGGCUAACUCCGUGCCAGCAGCCGCGGUAAUACGGAGGAUCCAAGCGUUAUCCGGAAUCAUUGGGUUUAAAGGGUCCGUAGGUGGAUAAUUAAGUCAGAGGUGAAAUCCUGCAGCUCAACUGUAGAAUUGCCUUUGAUACUGGUUGUCUUGAGUUAUUAUGAAGUAGUUAGAAUAUGUAGUGUAGCGGUGAAAUGCAUAGAUAUUACAUAGAAUACCAAUUGCGAAGGCAGAUUACUAAUAAUAUACUGACACUGAUGGACGAAAGCGUGGGGAGCGAACAGGAUUAGAUACCCCGGUAGUC
RNAcentral lists this ribosomal RNA (460 nucleotides) under uncultured bacterium. RNAcentral's name for it is "bacterial SSU rRNA". It matches the Rfam family "Bacterial small subunit ribosomal RNA", at positions 338 to 795 of the family's 1533-position model. The record is from RNAcentral.